RNAcentral lists this ribosomal RNA (454 nucleotides) under uncultured bacterium. RNAcentral's name for it is "bacterial SSU rRNA". It matches the Rfam family "Bacterial small subunit ribosomal RNA", at positions 340 to 786 of the family's 1533-position model. The record is from RNAcentral.
UACGGAAGGCAGCAGUGGGGAAUAUUGCACAAUGGGCGCAAGCCUGAUGCAGCCAUGCCGCGUGUAUGAAGAAGGCCUUCGGGUUGUAAAGUACUUUCAGUCGUGAGGAAGGUGUUAAGGUUAAUAACCUUAGCAAUUGACGUUAGCGACAGAAGAAGCACCGGCUAACUCCGUGCCAGCAGCCGCGGUAAUACGGAGGGUGCGAGCGUUAAUCGGAAUUACUGGGCGUAAAGGGCACGCAGGCGGUUAAUUAAGUUGGAUGUGAAAUCCCCGGGCUUAACCUGGGAAUGGCAUUCAAGACUGGUUAGCUAGAGUCUUGUAGAGGGGGUAGAAUUCCAUGUGUAGCGGUGAAAUGCGUAGAGAUGUGGAGGAAUACCGGUGGCGAAGGCGGCCCCUGGACAAAGACUGGCGCUCAUGUGCGAAAGCGUGGGGAGCGAAACAGGGAUUAGAUACC